GACGAACGCUGGCGGCGUGCCUAAUACAUGCAAGUCGAGCGAAGUUUUUCUGGUGCUUGCACUAGAAAAACUUAGCGGCGAACGGGUGAGUAACACGUAAAGAACCUGCCUCAUAGACUGGGACAACUAUUGGAAACGAUAGCUAAUACCGGAUAACAGCAUUAACUGCAUGGUUGAUGUUUGAAAGUUGGUUUUGCUAACACUAUGAGAUGGCUUUGCGGUGCAUUAGCUAGUUGGUGGGGUAAAGGCCUACCAAGGCGACGAUGCAUAGCCGACCUGAGAGGGUGAUCGGCCACACUGGGACUGAGACACGGCCCAGACUCCUACGGGAGGCAGCAGUAGGGAAUCUUCCGCAAUGGGCGAAAGCCUGACGGAGCAACGCCGCGUGAGUGAAGAAGGAUUUCGAUUCGUAAAGCUCUGUUGUUAGGGAAGAAUGAUUAUGUAGUAACUAUACAUA
This 457-nucleotide ribosomal RNA is filed under the name Gemella morbillorum. Its description in RNAcentral is "bacterial SSU rRNA". It matches the Rfam family "Bacterial small subunit ribosomal RNA", at positions 28 to 473 of the family's 1533-position model. Lineage: Bacteria; Bacillati; Bacillota; Bacilli; Caryophanales; Gemellaceae. The record is from RNAcentral.